RNAcentral lists this long non-coding RNA (246 nucleotides) under Mytilus galloprovincialis (Mediterranean mussel). The record is from RNAcentral. Lineage: Eukaryota; Metazoa; Mollusca; Bivalvia; Mytilida; Mytilidae.
UAUGAAUUAACAACUUGCAGUUCCUUGUUAUCAUAGUAAAAAUUAGUGUCUACUGGUCUAAAUCCAUUUCUAAAUACCACUACUUUGGUUUUAUCAGCGUUUACUUCGAUAUUCCAUUUAUUGCAGUAAAGUAAAAGUUUAUCAAAUAAGUGUUGCAGAACAGUCGGUGUUUUUCCAAAUAAAACGGUGUCGUCAGCAAAAAGUAUUAAAUAUAUAAGAAUUCCAUUCAAAGAUAUGACAUCUUCG